AGCUGUAGCAGUAAUGUGAAGGAAACGAUAAAUAAUACUUAUUCUGAUAAUAUGUAUAAUGGUAUAGUAACAAAUAGUUCAACAAUAUAUUAUUUUUUUAAGUACAAGGACUGUCACCGAAAAGUAAUUCAUUUUUGGUAUGUGUUUACUUUUUUAUCUGACUUUAUUUAAAUGUGAAACCAGAAGUUACCGUUUAUCAGGUCAUAUUUAAACUCUAUCUUAGUUCAUUGCUUAUAUUGUGUACACAACUCGGACUGUAACUUGAGUGAACGAAAAUCUUUAACUCUAUCGUUUUGGACCAUUUGAACAACCGUUAAGUGUCCAAACUGGGGAUACUAAUAUGGCCUUUAUUAGUUGCAACCCAUGUGAAUAAAUUAAGUGCUGGUAUACGAGGUCGAAUAGUUAUUUUGUACCUUGAGCUUUUUGUUCAUGGAUUCAGUUUUCUCAAUAGAGAUUCCCGUUAACACGUUUUCGGACUGUUUCAUCGGUGUUAUGUAAAGUAUAUUACGACCUUGCUCUUUGUGCGUGAUUAUUAAACAAGUAUUCGGCGUGAAAGCUGUGGUUUUAUUUAAGAAGACCUCGGAUUAACAUAUAACUAAAUUGUGAUUAGAGGAAGAAAAUGAAGAGUUUUCCAUUCGUGUUAGGAAGUCUCAUGAUUGUUUUACUCUGCCUGUUAGUGUUUCAAGUGAUAAAUUCUCACAGCAGUAUGUCGGACAGUGAUAUACUUAUUCCACCCGUCCAGUCGCGACGCAUGAGUCAACAAGAAAAUGCCACAAACUCGAAAACAUACGACGUUAAUAAUGCUCCAGAUACCACAAAUUUCCCAGCGGGUCAGAGAAAUCAAACGGACGUCAUGAUUUUAAUACACGUGCUUGGUGAUCUUGUGAAGAAGACGUGAACAUGUGGUUUAAUUAAUGCUGACAAUAACCAUCAAAAUCAAAUCGUAUUGACCAACAUCUCAACUUCCUGAAAGAUAAUGAAGUGGUGUCUAGUAGAGCCCUCGUCAAUUCACGCCGCCAUUACAGACUGUGCGAUUUUAGACAAUCAUUAAUUUGCUCUUUAUAUUAUUUCUAGGUUUUUAUAAAGUUGCGUUUUAUUCUUCUUUCUUUUAGUUUUUGUCUGAAUUUAUCAAUAGUUGGUUAAAAUCAAUUAAAAUAUUAUUGCAACUGA
This is a long non-coding RNA of Dreissena polymorpha, 1170 nucleotides long. RefSeq lists it as uncharacterized. The record is from RefSeq and is a predicted model, not a curated record. The transcript has 2 exons. NCBI's taxonomy places the organism in Eukaryota, Metazoa, Mollusca, Bivalvia, Myida, Dreissenidae.